GACGAACGCUGGCGGCGUGCCUAAUACAUGCAAGUUGAGCGCUGAAGGUUGGUACUUGUACCAACUGGAUGAGCAGCGAACGGGUGAGUAACGCGUGGGGAAUCUGCCUUUGAGCGGGGGACAACAUUUGGAAACGAAUGCUAAUACCGCAUAAAAACUUUAAACACAAGUUUUAAGUUUGAAAGAUGCAAUUGCAUCACUCAAAGAUGAUCCCGCGUUGUAUUAGCUAGUUGGUGAGGUAAAGGCUCACCAAGGCGAUGAUACAUAGCCGACCUGAGAGGGUGAUCGGCCACAUUGGGACUGAGACACGGCCCAAACUCCUACGGGAGGCAGCAGUAGGGAAUCUUCGGCAAUGGACGAAGGUCUGACCGAGCAACGCCGCGUGAGUGAAGAAGGUUUUCGGAUCGUAAAACUCUGUUGGUAGAGAAGAACGUUGGUGAGAGUGGAAAGCUCAUCAAGUGACGGUAACUACCCAGAAAGGGACGGCUAACUACGU
This 496-nucleotide ribosomal RNA is filed under the name uncultured bacterium. RNAcentral's name for it is "partial 16S ribosomal RNA". It matches the Rfam family "Bacterial small subunit ribosomal RNA", at positions 28 to 506 of the family's 1533-position model. The record is from RNAcentral.